Molecule: ribosomal RNA, 253 nt
Filed under: uncultured bacterium
Lineage: Bacteria
Description: partial 16S ribosomal RNA
Rfam family: Bacterial small subunit ribosomal RNA
Source: RNAcentral
GACGGAGGGUGCUAGCGUUGUUCGGAAUCACUGGGCGUAAAGGGCGCGUAGGCGGCCUCGUCAGUCGGGCGCGAAAGCCCGGGGCUCAACCCCGGAACGGCGCCCGGGACGGCGGGGCUGGAGGCCGGGAGAGGGCGGUGGAAUACCCAGUGUAGAGGUGAAAUUCGUAGAUAUUGGGUGGAACACCGGUGGCGAAGGCGGCCGCCUGGCCCGGUCCUGACGCUGAGGCGCGAAAGCGUGGGGAGCAAACAGG